UGUGUAUCGGGAAGGUUGAUUGCAGAACUGGUGGAGAAUACUUCCAUUAAUUUUCACCGCUUCAUUGCUGUCCUCCCUGAUUACCUUGAGCACAUACUGUUUGGUGCUCAGCAUGGCCGGAAGUUGAUGCAGAUUUUAGCGAUUGCUGGUGAUUCUGACAUUUUUUUACUGUGAUGAUGAUUAUUUCUACUGCUAUCUGUUUAUAUUUCAUUAGCGGUACUGUUCAUUUGAGAACUAUCAGCCCUGCUGAAACAUUUUUAAUCACAAAGUUAUGCUUGAGGUUAUGAUCAUGUCUUUUUAUUGCAAUUAGAGUCAAUCCAGCUGCUUUUUUCAAUUUGAUUGGAAUACAAUAAUUAUUGGGUUUUAAUCACUUU
Long non-coding RNA from Dendrobium catenatum, 374 nucleotides. RefSeq lists it as uncharacterized. The transcript is spliced from 2 exons. Lineage: Eukaryota; Viridiplantae; Streptophyta; Magnoliopsida; Asparagales; Orchidaceae. The record is from RefSeq and is a predicted model, not a curated record.